CCUACGGGUGGCAGCAGUGGGGAAUAUUGCACAAUGGGGGAAACCCUGAUGCAGCGACGCCGCGUGAGUGAAGAAGUAAUUCGUUAUGUAAAGCUCUAUCAGCAGGGAAGAAAAUGACGGUACCUGAGUAAGAAGCCCCGGCUAACUACGUGCCAGCAGCCGCGGUAAUACGUAGGGGGCAAGCGUUAUCCGGAUUUACUGGGUGUAAAGGGAGCGUAGACGGCAGCACAAGUCUGGAGUGAAAUCCCGGGGCUUAACCCCGGAACUGCUUUGGAAACUGUGCGGCUGGAGUGCAGGAGGGGUAAGCGGAAUUCCUAGUGUAGCGGUGAAAUGCGUAGAUAUUAGGAGGAACACCAGUGGCGAAGGCGGCCUGCUGGACUGUAACUGACGUUGAGGCUCGAAAGCGUGGGGAGCAAACAGGAUUAGAUACCCCAGUAGUC
Molecule: ribosomal RNA, 440 nt
Filed under: uncultured bacterium
Lineage: Bacteria
Description: partial 16S ribosomal RNA
Rfam family: Bacterial small subunit ribosomal RNA
Source: RNAcentral